Molecule: ribosomal RNA, 427 nt
Filed under: Calyptophyllum longiventre
Lineage: Eukaryota; Metazoa; Arthropoda; Diplopoda; Julida; Julidae
Description: partial 16S ribosomal RNA
Source: RNAcentral
AUGGUGCUUGGGUUUUAGAUUAAGCAUUUAGCCUGCUCACUGUGAUAUAAAGCGCUGCAGUAUUUUAACUGUGCAAAGGUAGCAAAAUCAUUAGUCUUUUAAUUGAGGACUAGAAUGAAAGGCCAGACAAAAACUUUCUGUCUUGGGCUUAAUAGUUGAAGUUUUCUUUUUUGUUAAAAGACAAAGAUGUUAUUUAAAGACAAGAAGACCCUGUUAAACUUUAUUGGCUUAGUGAUUAUUAUUUUAGUUAUUUAAUUAACAUUAGUAAGUAAAUUUUAUUGGGGCGAUAAAUAUUAUACUAUAUUUUAAUAAACAGAUAAUAAUUGGAUUUUUUAAGGAGCCUGCUAUGAAAGGUAUUAGAGGAAGUUACUACAGGGAUAACAGCGUAAUGUUUUUAUGAAGUUCUUAUUUAUAAAGGUGUUUGCGA